This 1290-nucleotide long non-coding RNA is filed under the name Pan troglodytes (chimpanzee). RNAcentral describes it as "long non-coding RNA NONPTRT000178". Lineage: Eukaryota; Metazoa; Chordata; Mammalia; Primates; Hominidae. The record is from RNAcentral.
GCAGACCAUGAUCAGUGAGCCCUCCCCACUCUCCCUUUCUCUCUCUCCCCAUCUCCCUAGCUGCAGAGCAUAUUCAGACAGCUCUCCAAUAAGUUCAUCAGUAAUAAAGGUGUGCUAGGGAAUAAAUGAAAUGCCUGGGACAUCAUCGUUAAGUGGCAUCUGAUGCAUAAGCAGUGCCCUAGGAACGGGGUUGCCUGCCUUGGUCUCUAAAGGAUGGGUUCAAAAGGCAAGAGCAGCACACAAGAAGAUAGCUUCAAGCAGGAGAAAAAGCUUGGCCCAGGGCCCAAAGGGGAUACGACCCUUCAGCAAACUGACAUGCUGAAAGCUGCCCUAUGGAGAGGCUCAUGUGGCAAGGAACAUGGGGGUGGCUUCUGGCCAACACCCAGUGAGGAACUCAGGCCCUCAGUCAAACAGCCUGCAAGGAACUGAACCCUGCCAAUAACCGAGCCAUCCCAUGAGGCCGUUACUGCAAACAAGCUGAAAAUCCUGCUUUGUUUCUUUUGGACACAACAUGCUUUCCUUCAGCUUCAGUAGACGAUGAGGCCAGCACCACAUGGGCUAGAUGUACAUGAGAUGUGAGCAACCACACUUCCCCUCUGACGGGGACAGACAGCAUCACAGGACAUGAAGUUCUAAGAGUUUCAGUGACUUGUCUAAGAUUAAACAGCUAUGAAUGGAGAACUGGAGGAAAAUGAGGAUUCCCCAUUAAUGCCAUGAGUUCACUGCAGAGGUCAACACUGGGCAUACACUUCAAUCAUCCAUAAAGGAAAAUGGAGGCCUCAUCAUCUCUCACCUGGGCAACUGCAACAAUGAGCAGCUUGUGUCUGUGCCUGCAUCCAUCCUUCCAUCCUGUUCUCCAGCAGCAGCCAGGGUGGUCUUUCAAAAAUGCAAAGCUGAUAAUGUUACUCCCCUGCUGUAAACCUUCCAGCGGUUUCCUAUUGCCUUCAGAAUAAAAUACGAAUCGUCCGGCCUCCAUCUAUCUCUCCAGGCUCAUCCUCUCUCAAUUUUCCAUAUCCUUCAGGCUGAGCUCUGAAACUUCUCCUGGCAGUUCAAGAGAGCGAUGGAGGGAAUGCUGGGGCACAUCUAAAUAAAGCCCCCAAGUGGGAGUUCCUGCUCAGCUAUGCAUGAGCUCUUUGUGACUUCAUCUCCCAGCCUACAACUUGUGAAAUAAGCACGACUUCACUCAGAGCACAGCCAGAAACAUACAAACUUUCCAAAAAUAUUUGAAUGUUGACAGCAGACUGUCUUGCAUUCCAGUGAAUAAUUGGUUUGUAUGAGUGUGUGUGUGAC